UUCUUUUCAUCUAUAUGGUCGAGAAACGAUUGUCCAAAACUGCCAGUCUGUUUCCUGACAUGCGAAGGAUCAACGUCAUAGAAUAUCGGCAAAACUAAUUGCCCCCGAUUUCUUCUACACUCCAUGAUCUUAACCAGCUCCUCGAGGCACCAGCUGGAGUUCGCAUACCGUCUAGAGAAGACGAUGAUAGAGAUCUUAGAACCUUGGAUUGCCCGCUCAAAUGCGGUUGUUAAUUCUUCUCCCUUUUUCAGUUCUUCGUCGUCAAUAAAAGCAUUGAUUCCAGCCUUUGUUAAUGCUUCAUAGAGGUGGCCCGUGAAGUUUUUACGUGUGUCUCCGCCUCUGAAGCUUAUGAACACAUCGUAGAGCGAACCUUUUGAGAAGGAGGACGAGGACAAGGAGGCGGAGAAGGACGAUGAGGAUGAGGAUGAGGGCAAGGAUGUGGAGGAGGUAGAGGAGGAAGAUGAGGAUGAGGAUGAGGGCGAGGAUGCGGAGGAGGACGAUGAGGAUGAGGGCAAGGAGGAGGAGGAUGACGAGGCUUUAUCGGGGACUGAGACAUUCAUUUGGCGAAAGACGAGGCCGAGGGAGCAGAGGAGGAAGAUGAGGACAUCAAAGACAAGACCGGAAUUGCGAGCCGCAAAGUGGUAGGACACUAACACCAGCACCGGAGUUAACAGCUUCCCUAAGCUCGACCAGGGAUCCAUUUCCUUCAUUUUCUUUAGGCAAAUUGAAGGUUUUUGGCGAUAUUGAUUUUCCCAUUUCCCUCAGCCUUUCCCUUUUUCCUUUACUUUUUUCUUCAUUUUUGGCGAGUUUCCUUCGCUUCUGGUCAAUAAUGCGCGUCAAUCAUGUGCGUUUUCAUACAGUACAUGCGUCCAUGUUUUUUUUUUCCUUUUUCUUGGUAGUUGUGCCGAGUGAAAGGCAGAUUUUAUACUAUAUAUUAUUUUCAAUUCUUGAUAUACUUUUAUUAUUAUUUUGAUGAGAUUUAGAUGUUUUGUUAUGUAUUUUUAAUGUAAGACAAUUAUGCACGUUAAUUAUGUGCGUUUUCGUACCUUUUUAAAGGAGUAGGAUUAUCUGGUCUCUUUUUGUCUCUCUACUUCUCUCUCUUUCUAUUUAAACGGUCACGGUUAAAUCUCGUUAACAUCUUAUAUUAAUUUUUUAUAAAAAAAGAUAAGAUAAAAAAUAUGAGAUGAUGGAAUGGAAAGAAGAAAUGAGAGAAUUCUAAUCUAUUUUUACAGUUUACAUGCGUCCGUGAUUUUUUUUUCCUUUUUCUUGGUUGUUGUGCCGAGACUGCCCUCCAGCUGGAAAUAAGGAGGAGACAGAGAAAUAAGAACUGCCACUAGGUUGGUGAAACAGUGUCAAGCAUUUUCGUUGGACGGAGGACUAUGCAUGUCGGGUUGGAUCGCCAAAUGGAAGGGCAAAAUUUAUAACCAAGCGGACAAUUUUUUUUUUCAACAAAUAAUAUUAUCGGGAAAAUCUCAUAAUAAGCUAAUAAUAAUAUGAUUCAAACUUUUAUUCUUACUUUUUGUUCUAAAUACUUAUUACAAUCAUGAAAAAUAAAAUAGUAGUUUAAAUUUGACAUCAGAGAAAGUGCUACGAACAGACAAAAAAACACAAUCAGAGAAAUUGCUACGAACAAACAAAAAAACACAAUCAGAGAAACUGCAACGAACAAACAAAAAAACACAAUUAGAAGGUGGUUUAAAUUUGGCGCAAUUGAUUGAAGACUUUGACUUGUGGUUCUACACCCUAAAUUCUACAAGGCGCCCUUUUUUUCCACUAUAACACCAAAUUGAAGACUUUGACUUGUGGUUCUACACCCUAAAUUCUAGAAGGCGCCCUUUAUUUCCACUAUAACGCCAAAUUCUACGCGGUAAGUUGACUUGUGGUUCUACACCCUAAAUUCUACGAGGCGUCCUUCUUUUUUCCACUUUAACGUUCACACAAUACACAAUGAUAAGAGAUUUUUCAAUUUAUCAGAACAUAGUCUGGGACACCGUACACCACUUAUAAAACAGUUUCAAGAGGGCUAGUUUGAAAAUAUCCUAUUGCAAAAUUUGAUUUAGAUGAAAACCAGCAACAGUGCCUGCGCGUGUUGUUGCGGGUGUCUAAAAUAUUUUGAUAAUAUGUACAUAGAAAACAUAAUUUAUUGAAGCUAGAUUUCUAUACUUAAGAUAGAGGUUGGCAGUGUUCAUAAUUAUCAAAAGAUUGGGAGUGUCCAAUUGCUCACUGUUCAAAAGAUAGAGAUGCUAUAAAAACUAAAUUCAUGUACAUAAGUUCAUAGUAUCAUGUACUCACAAUAAUCAUAGUAUCAAAAUAUUGGCAGUCUUCAACCACUCAUCGUUCAAAUACGAAAAUAUACAUAUAUCCAUAUCAAAAGGUUGGCAUCGCACAUCUGGUUUGUGUUUAUGAUUUUUCCUGUUCAAUCUCUGGUCUUGCUUGUUUGGGAAUGACCAUCCUUUUUCUUGGCCACCAUGUUGUUGAAUUGGUGCCUAUUCUUUUUUGCUUUGCCCAAGAUUUUGCUAUUGCUAUACAUUACGAAUUGGAAUCAGUAAGAAUUCAAUAUAAAAAAGUAAAUUUGUCAAUCUAUUUAACUUAGUGCGAACUUCAUCAAACAACCAACAAGUAUAAUCCAGCAAGGUUAUUUUCAUUUUCUUUUUUUAAUCAAAAUGAAUUCUAUUGUUCCCAUAUAUUUGCAAAUCCCUUUAAAUUAUCCAAAAACACAAAAGAAAUAUAUCUUGAUCCAUACCAAUUAAUGAUUUCCCAUUUACUUUAGUCAAAUGUCAGAGCCAAUGAAGGAACUGAUGAAGGAGCUAAAAAAGAGAGACAAAAAAAAAUCUCUAUUAUUCAAUUAUAUAGAGAAUUACUUGAUUGUACAAAAGGUUUGAAAAUUACUGUAAAAAUAAAAUUUCAAAAAAAAAAAAAAAAGAUGAGAUGAGAUGGAGUAGAAAUCACAUAACAGCAUUAGACUUAAAUUUGUAGUGCUUAUAUGAGAGAGUAGUGAUAGUGCUGAUGAGAAUGUAGGGAGAGAAACAAAAUGCAAAUCGUAAGAGUGAGAGAAAAACCGCUUGAGGGACACUGCAAAUUGAUCGAUGAGAUUUGAGAAACCACUAUUUUAUUUCUUGGUGGAUAAUUGGAAAUGUUAGUUUUAAGUCGUUCUUGGUGGAUGUUUGAUUUUUGGGUGUGUGGAGUUUUCGAAUUAUAAUUAGUUUUUUAUAGGUAUGUGAUUUGAGAAACCUUUAAUAUUUAUUUUCUCAUUCUUAUUUAUUUAAGGGCAAAUUUGAAAGUUUAGUCAAGAAAAUUUGUUAGUUGGGUGUAGAGAUAUAAAGGAUGGGUUCAAAUAAAAUUUCUCUAAAAUAAAUAAUGUGAAAGGAGAUGAUCAAAAAAGAAGUGAGAGAAUCAUAGUCUAUUUUUUACAGUUUACAUGCGUCCGUGACUUUUUUUGCCUUUUUCUUGGUUGUUGUGCCGAGACUGCCCUCCAGCUGGAAAUAAGGAGGAGACAGAUAAAUAAGAACUGCCACUAGGUUGGUGAAACAGUGUCGAGCAUUUUCAUUGGACGGAGGACUAUGCAUGUUGGGUUGGAUCGCCAAAUGGCUGGAAAAUUUUUAUAACCAAGCGGACAUAUUUUUGUUCUUUUCCUCUGAUGUUCAACUGCAAGUAGAAAUUCUGUUAGUUUAAAGGAUUUAAGGAUUAAGUGCAUUUUUUCAAAGAGGAUUAGCUUGGACGGAAUAACUAAGCAUCUGUAAAGGAGGAGUUCAAAUGUCAACAUCAGCAAUAACAAGAAAAAAAUACGGUAUUAGUGUUAGCAACUUCAAAUUUUUUUUUUUACAAUCAAUAUUAUGCCUUACAAUAAGCUAACAAUAAUAUAGUUCAAACUUUUAUUCUUACUUUUUGUUCUAAAUACUUAUUACAAUCAUGAAAAAUAAAUAAUGUAAUAAACAGUGGUUUAAAUUUGACAUAUCAAACAGAGAAUAAAAUUUUAAAAAAAAAUUAAAGUGUUACACUAACUUUCAAAUUUAAAUUUUAUAUUUGAAAUUUGAAAUCUACUUUGGAAAUGAACAAAUCGGUUGUUUUUUAUUAUAGAUUUCUUUAUAGAUAAUGUUGGUGGUCUUAGAAAAUUUUAUUAACAUGAAAAAAAAUAGUAUACUUAAUCUAUGGACAUAAACCUUUAACCCUUAAUUUGGUCCAAGAUAUUAUUAGAGAAUUCCCACUUGGUUUGGUCCCGUAUAAUUUUGUUUUCCCUGCUAGCAAUAUUUUGAAUUCCAACUAUCUAUAGUUUUGUUGGAAUAAUUUCACAAGUCAUAAUCUAAUCUAUUCUAUUAAGAGAAGAGGGCUUAUCAACUUUUUGCUCAUUUUUCUUCUAAUUUUGUCCUCACUUUUGAUAUAUAAUGUUUACAACAAGGAAGGCAAAAUAGUAAUUUUGUAUCUUUUGACAAAAUAACAAUCAUAUGCCUAUUUUACCUUUUUUCUAGAAAAUGACAAUCAUAUACUUAUGUUUUCAAUUUUACCCUCACUUUUUAUACACAAUAUUUACAUAAGAAUGACAAAAUAGGAAAAAAGGGGAAAAAAAGUUGACAAGGAGGCUUCUCUUAAUAACAUUUUUGAUACAUAAGGAGGACAAGCCAUCAUUUUUUCAUACAGGUAAGUUAAAUAAUUAUGUUUUUCGGAUAAUUUGAAUGAACUGAAGCGGUUGCGCUUGAGAAGAAUGUAAGAGGAGGUGUGUGGUUGUUCACACACACAAAGUGUGUACUCUAUGUAGUACAAAAUUAAGAAUACCAACUAUGCUUUUGUUUUAAUUUUUUUGGCUAAAAAAAAUCAAAAAAUCAAAAUCAAAGAAAAUGAUAGGAAAGAGCAACAACUUGCAUAUGUAUAGUUUAUAAGGAAAACUAAUGAAAAUAGCUUGAAAAUUUUGAGUUUUAACAAUAAAGACAAAAUAAAGGGUAAAGUAAAUAAUAUCAGGAUUGACUUUUUAGUGUAAAAAUAUGGUUUUUCGUUAAAAUUAACAAUACUGAAAACUUUUCGUUAAAUUUCCCUAUUUUAUAUGCUUUUAAUUAUUUUUAUGAGUUUGUGUUUGUACCAAGACAACUAUGUAUUUUAGGAAAACUAAUGAAAAUGAUUUGAAAAGCUUGAGUUUUAACGAUAAAGACAAAAUAAAGGGUAAAAUUAAUAGUAUCAGGAUUAACUUUUUAGUGUAAAAAUUGUGGUUUUUCGUUAAAGUGUACAGUACCGAGAGCUUUUCGUUAAAGUUCCCUAGUUUAUAUGCUUUUAAUUAUUUUUAUGAGUUCAUGUUUAUACCAAGACAACUGUCAAUUUAAGAUUUAGUAUUGAAUGGCUCCAUAGUAAAUAUCACAACUUUCCGAAUAUCCAGCAUCAGGUGGGUCUGAAGAAUUGCAUAGCUUGGGGGUAUCAUCUUGAGGACCCAUAUCAUCUGGAUCAGACCAAGGCCGAUGCCCACCGUACAUAUGGCGCAUAUGCCACACUUCGGCUGGAGGGUGGAGUUUUAACACUCAAAGUAACAGACCACUAGCAUCUGCACCUAUAGGCCAAGGCAUAUUCUAUAUAGCCCAUCGAAAAAAGUGAAAUCAAGUUGUAACUAUGAGAUUUCAGGUUGUGAUUGACAUUAACAAAUUAAGUAAAACGAAUGUGUAGAAUUUUAAGCAACCACUUAACAAGAAAGUUAAUCCUUUGAUUGAAUAAAGUUACAACCAUUGAGUUUAGCAUCAUUAUUAACAAGGAAGAAAAUAAACCAUGCAACUCCAUCAUCAUUCAUGAGUGGUAUUUAGGAAAUACAACUAUACUUGCAUAUGAGGGUCCUAAUUGUCAUGAAAAAAUUAGCAUGUACAUGAAAAUCUAUAUGCAUCUUGAAAAAAAAUAUAUUCUCACUCAUAUAUCCGUUUCAAAUUUAUAUAGACAAUAAUUAAAAGGCUUAAUUACUGGUGCACCUUUGAAAGUGGGAAAAAAAAUCUCACUUUGCCUCUUGAAACUUAUUUUGAUCAAAUUUACUUACUUUUUAAAAUAUGUAAACGUAUCUCAUUCUAUUGUAUACCGUUAGCUUCAUUAAAUUUUUCUUCAAUGUCACUCACGUUAACGUGUCAUCCAUGUGUCAAAAGAUAGAGUACCUUUUUGUCUCUUCCCGUUCUCCAACUUAAUACAAGUUAGUUAUUCUCCUUCACUUCUUUAGCUCAUUUCACUCUCCCCCUCUCUCUCUCACUGAUUUCUAUCUCUUGGUCUUAUUGACUUUUGGCUAAAUAAUGUUAAAAAAAUAUGAGUUUUCACCUUUUUUAUAAUUUGUGAUUCUCUUUUCCAUGUGUAGGUGAGAGAGUAAUGUUUAACUCAAAAUUUACCCUCAUUUUUAAUACACAAAAUGGUUGGACACUAACACCUCCACCGAAGUUAACAGCUUCCCUAAGCUCGACCAGGUAUCCAUUUCCUUCAUUUUCUUUAGGCAAAUUGAAGGUUUUUGGCGUUCUCCGAAAAAAAAAAAAAAAUUGAAGGUUUUUGGCGAUAUUUAUUUUCCUUUUUUCCUGCCGGAACUACUUUCUUCUUCUGAUAAUUAAUAAACCUGUCAACUCUAUGCCAAUAAUGCAGUUAGGAUUGCACAUGGGCGACCGACAACUCAUCAGGACCCCAUUUCCCUCAGCCUUUUCCUUUUAUCUUUACAUUUUUCUUCAUUUUUGGCAAGUUUCCUUUAAUUUUGGUCAAUCAUGCGCGUCAAUCAUGUGCAUUUUCCGACCUUUUUUACACUGUAGGAUUAUCUCUCCUCUUUGUUUCUCUAUUCUUUUUUUUCCUGUUAUUUGAACGGUCACGGUUAAACAACGUUAACAUUUUAUAUUAAUUUUUUAUAGAAAAAGAAAGACAAAAUAAAGAAUAUGAGAGAUGAGAAUGAAAAGAUGAAGGAAGAUAAUCCUAAUUUUUUUUACAGUUUACAUGCGUCCAUGAUUUUUUUUUCCUUUUUCUUGGUUGUUGUGCCGAGACUGCUCUUCAGUUGGAAAUGGACAAGGAUUGCCUGUCUUCCCACUUCCUGUGCCAUUCUGUUUUAUGUGGUUACGGUUAAGCCACGUUAAUAUUUUAUAUUUUUUUUUAUAGAGAUAAAAAAAAGGUCGUACUCAGUGCACAAGGCUCCUGCUUUACGCAGGGUCUGAGAGAGGUGAAUGUCGGCGAGCUUUACCCCCAUUUAUGGAGAGGCUGCUCUCAAGUCUCGAACCCGAGACCUACCGUUCAUGGGCGAAGGCAUUUGCCAUCGCACCAAGUGCGACCUGUUUUUUUUUAUAGAGAUAAUAAGAUAAAAAUAAAUAGUAAUAUAAAAUAUUAACGUGAUUUAACCGUGACCAAACAAACAGAAGGGUACGAAAGGGCAGACAAUCCUUGCUGGACAUAAGGAGGAGACAGAUAAAUAAGAACUGCCGAUAGGUUGGUGAAACAGUGUCAAGCAUUUUCAUUGGACGGAGGACUAAUGCAUGUCAGGUUGGACCGCCAAAUGGCUGGGAAAAAUUUAUAACCAAGCGGACAUUUUCUUUUCUCUGAUGUUCAACUGCAAGUAGAAAUUCUGUUAGUUUAAAAAGAUUUAAGGAUUAAGUGCAUUUUUUUAAAGAGGAUUAGCUUGGAAGGUAUAACUAAUCAUCUUUAAAAGAGGAGUUAAAAUGUCCACAUCAGCAAUAACAGUAAAAAAAUUACGCAUUAGUGUCAACAACUUCAUUUUUUUUUUCUUCAACAAACGAUAUUAUCAGAAAUGUCUCACAAUGAGCUAACAAUAAUGUGGUUCAUGUUUAAACUUUUAUUCUUACUUUUUGUUCUAAAUAUUUACUACAAUCAUGAAAAAUAAAUAAUGUAAUAAAUAGUGGUUUAAAUUUAACACAUUGGGUGGAGAAUAAAAUUAAAAAAAAAAAAAUCAAAGUGUCACAAAAGCUUUCAAAUUUAAAAUUUAUGUUUGAAAUUUGAAAUCUACUUUGGAAAUGAACAAUUCAGUUGUUUUUAUUUUAUUUAAUUUUUUUUAUGGAUUUCUUUAUAGAUAAUGUUGGUGGUAUUAGAAAAUUUUAUUAACAUGAAAAAAAAUUAUACUUAAUCUAUAGACAAAAACCUUAACCCUUAAUUUGGUCCAAGAUAUUAUUAGAGCAUUCCCACUUGGUUUGGUCCCGUAUAAUUUCAUUUUCCCUGCUAGCAAUAUGAGUGCAACUUGGGUUGGGCCAACCUGAACUCGUCCAUGUUCAACCCGACUUUAAACCUAAACAAGCGGGUUUUUUUUUAUAGUUAUAACCCUCCCGAACCCAACCUGAUUUCAACCUGUUCAUUGAUUGGGUUGAGUUGAGUUGAUCAUUUGCCCAACCCAACUCAACCCGACCCAACCCAAUUAAACAAACCCGAAUAUGACCUAUAUCAAUUAAUACUCAUAUUACACCUAAAUGGGCCAAGUCCAAAAACCCACAUCCUUUCUAAUAUAUUUUUUAAAUAAAUUACCCCUCUAAACCCUAAAGCUAUAUAUUAAAUUGUUAGUCUCCAAUUUCAUUAUGUGGCUCUGCAACUCAGUCUACCUCUUUCCUCUUAUUAAGAAGUCAAAAACUAAGUCUCAAGGCUACAGGUCUCCAUCUCUAUCUGAAAGCCCAAGAAAAUUUGCAACUGCCCCUCUCUUUUUGGACAAUGAAGUAUUCCUCUCUAUAUGAAAGCCCAAGAAAAUUUGGACAAUGAAGUGUUCUUCUCUUUUUUUUUUUAUUCUUUUCUUUUGGUACUAGCUUUAGUAUUUCUUGUAUUUUAAUUCAAACUUUGCAUGGUUGAAACAUUUAUAUUUAGUUAUUAACUUUAUAACGGAUACAAUUUGCGGAAUUGAAUUUUAAUUUUGAAAAAGUUGGGCCAACCCAAACCCAACCCAAGUAAACCCGAAUCCAAUUAUACCUGGGCCCGAAUGAACUCGAUUAAAACCCAACUCGAACCCGAACCCGAUUUGUAAAAAGUUGGGUUAGAAUUAGGUUGACCUUUCAACCCACCCAAUCCGCCCAAGUUGCACCCCUAGCUAGCAAGGUUGUGAAUUCCAACUAUCUUUAGUUUUGUUGGAAUAAUUUCACAAGUCAUAAUACAUAAUUAAGAAUAGCAACUGUGCUUUUGUUUUUUUUUUGUUUUUGGCUAAAAAAAUCAAAAAAAAAAAAAUCAAAGAAAGUGAUAGGAAAGAGCAACAACUUGCAUAUGUAUAGUUUAUAUGCUUUUGCUUAUUUUUAUGAGUUCAUGUUUGUACCAAGACAACUACCAAUUUAAGAUUUAGAGGGUGUAUUCAUUUGGGAAUUUGAUAUAUUGUAAUAGAUUUAUAAAUCUACGGAUUUUUAUAGAGUUUAACUAAUUUGUAGAGAUUUCAUAUAAAAUUUUGAUAAACUAUCUUAAAAUCUUGAUUGAAUACACAUUGAAUUUCAGAGAAUCACUUAAAAUCUUGAUUGAAUACACCUUGAUUCAUUAAAAGAAUAAAAAUCCCUAAAAAUCCCAAUUGAAUACAGCCCCCUUAGUAUUGAAUGGCUCCAUAAUAAACAGCACAACUUUUCGAAGAUCCAAAAUCAGGUGGCUCUGAAGAAUUGCAUAGCUUGGGGGUAUCAUCUUGGGGACCCAUAUCAUCUGGAUUAGACCAAGCCCGACACCCAUCGUACAUAUGGCACCUAUGCCACUUUUUGGCUAGAGGGUGGAGUUCUAACAUUCGGAGUAACAGACCCCCAACAUCUGCACCUAUAGGCCGGGGCAUAUUCUGUAUAGCCAUCGAAAAAAAGAGAUUGUAACUAUGAGAUUUCAGGUUGUGAUUGACACGAAUUUUAAACAACCAGUUAACAAGAAAGUUAAUCCUCAUACUGAAUAAAGUUGCAAGCAUUGAGUUUAGCAGCAUUAUUAACAAGGAAGAGCAGAAACCAUGCAACUCCAUCAUCAUGCAUGAGUGGUAUUUUUGGAAAUACAACUAUACCUGCAUAUGAGGAUCAUAAUUGUCAUGAAAAAAUUAGCAUGUACAUGAAAAUCUAUAAACAUCUUGAAAAAAAAUAUAUUCUCACUCAUAUAUUCGUUUCAAAUUUAUAUAGACAAUAAUUAAGGGAAUUGUUAUUGGCAUUUUAAAAAUCUCAUUUUACAUUUCAAACUUUCUACAUUUAGAAAGAAAAAUAUACUUGUGAGGAGUGUAGAAUGAGAUUUUUUAAAUGUUAAUAACACUUCCCAUAAUUAAAAGGUUUAAUUACUGGUGCACCCGUGACUCUCAACGGGUCGGGAUUCAGCUGCACGCGAUAUGCAACUGACUGCAGGCCUGGUUGCUCUGUAUUUUUUUAGGUUUCUUUUAUCCUUCCCUCCCGUCGCGCUAUUCUUUUGUAUCUUUGCUUUUGGUUUUCCCACCAUUUUUGAGCAGGUCAGAGACCAUACUUGUAUACCAAGAAUAAUAGCUUAAUGGAAAUAUCUUGCGUUCCUUCCUUGUAAUUAACAUUUCUUCUUCUUGUUCUUCUAUUAUUUUUUGUUUUUGUCGUAAUAUAAGAGUUAUGUUCAAAAUUGUGAUCAAUUAGCAUUCGCCGCCACUUAGUAUACAUCAUUCAUUAUUAUUUUUUAUUCAAUAGAAAAAGAAUGAAGGAGUUCACUAUUUUUUGUUUUAUCAUCGGAAUAGAGGACUUAUUCUAGUGAAAAGAGAUUUUUCUCUAGAAAGAAACAAAUAAGAUAUUGAUUCCAAAUACCGUUACUUUACUAGAUGAAGCCGACAACUAUGCGUGUAUAAGGAUAAAAAAAAAACUAAAAAAACACUAAGAAUUUUUUUUUAAAUAUAUACUAGCAUAUGGGCACACACAAAGUGUGUGAAUUUUUUUUGUUUGUUUUUGAAAUAGAAGGAGAGAGGAAGAGAGUGAUAGAGAAUGUGAGUGGGGAUUUUUUUUUUAAAUUAGAGAUAUGUUAUGAUUACAUGUAGGUGAUGCUUUGAAAAGAAAAACAAAAUUUGGUUGUGUGAAAUUACAUUUUUUCCCCAUAUUUCUUAUUCAUGUUUUGUUUUAGGGUAAAGUACAAAAAACUAUCUCAACUAUUGGUGUCACGACACUUUCAUACUUCAUCUUUUAAAAUUGACAAUGUCAUACCUUAUCUUACGAAUUUGUGUCAAUGUCGGACCUCCAUCAGUUUUUCUGUUAAUUUCUCUGUUAAAUGCUGACGUGACCCGACACGUGUCCCACUCACUAAUCCAAUUGGAUUAAAAAAUAAUAAAAUACAUUUUUAAUAAUUAAAUAUUCAAAAAUUAAAAAAAUAUAUAUUAAAUCUUUCUCUCUCUCUCUCCUCUCUUUUUUAUUUUUAUAUUAAAUCUCUCUCUCUCUCCUCUCUCUCUCUCCCCCUCUCUGUCGCCUUUAUCUCUUCUCUGCAUCCUAGAACCCAUUCUCAUCUCUCCCCUCCCCCCACCGCGACCCCUUCCCGUUCCCCCUCCGUGCAACCCCCCACCCUUCCCCACCCAUGCCAACAUCUCCUUCUCUCUCAGCUCACUCACUCUUUCUCCCCCUCUCUUGCACAUACUAUACCUCUCUCCCAGAUCUACACUCACGCACCCAUUUACACACCCACACCCACCGACGACGGUACCAAAAACCAUCAUUGGCGUCAACCCUUUCUCCUUUCGUCUCCGUGAAGCUCCGAGGCACCCAGAGGACACCCAACCCAGGUCCGGCGAGCCAUGGGUGUGCGAGCCCAAGUCUCGGGUGGGGACAAACUAGGGGAUGGGGUGGGGUGGGGACGAAUUGGGUUUUGAUUUUUUUUUUUCGUUUCGUUUCUGGGCAGAGCAGGGGAAGAAGAUGGGGGAGGAGAGAGAGGGGGUGGGGUGGGGACGAAUUGGGUUUUGGAAAUUUUUUUUUCACUUUUCUUUGUUAUUUUAAUAUUUAAAAUAUAUUAAAUGAUUUUUUUAAAUAUUUUCUUAAUUUUUUUAAUAGAAAGUGGGGUUUGGAUCAAGCCACGUCAGCAAUUAACUGACAAAUUAACGGUUAGGCUAACUGAAGGUAUAAAAUUGACCAAAUUCUAAAGAUGAGGUAUGACAUUGUUAAUUUUAAAAGAUGAGGUAUGAAAGUGUCAUGAGACUAAUAGUUGAGGUAGUUUUUUGUACUUUACCCUUUGUUUUAAUUAGAGGGUUAAACUGGUAAUUUCAUAAGAUUUUGGUUGACAAUAAGUGUUUUAUUAAUUAGUAGAAAUAAAAAAAAAGUAAUUUUAAAUAGAUGCAGAAAAAUAGUAGGAGAGAGAGAGAUUUGAUAGUUUUAGUUGUUAUAAUUACCAUAUCAUCCUUCAUUUUUAUGUUUUAUUAUUUAAACUUACUAAGAUUAAAAAGGGCGAAAAGGAAAUUUCACCCUCUUUAGUAGUAGAUUAAUUCCCAAACGCUAAUGUCGUUUCCAUGAGGUUUGUAUAGAGUUACAAGAUCGCCGGUGCUUUCUUACAAGGGACAGCUAGUCCAUGACGUCAUAUUGUCACUGUGUGGUAUGGGCCUCCGAGUUGACUCCGCGAGUCUAUACAUCUAUAUACAUACACGCAUCUUUUAGGGUUUAUAGCUUUCCUAUAAAAGGACAGGAUUUCUCGAAUUCUACAAGCACUUACAUUUUGCGACUUAUGCAGACCUUGAUUUAACCAAAUUUGUGAGACUUACAUAUGUCGUUAUCUGCACUCAAUUUUGAAUUACCAUUUUUGUACUUUAUAUAAAUUUAGUGUAAUUAUCUUCCUAGUUUAACAAAUUGGAGCCCCCAAAAUUGAUAUUGAUUGGUAGGUCAAAAUACAAAACCCUAAAUUCAGAUCUUUUCUGAUUCUAUUUUUUUCAUAAAUUUAAGUCAUAUUUAAUAAUUUGUUUUCUGAAUACCUAAAUAUGAGAUGAAUGCUGUGUGUCAAGAUAUGCAUUUGUUGGUCAAUUUUUUAUAACCCCCAUGGCUAGGUGUAACUUUUGUUUUCGUUUAAGAACCAUUGAGUUUUGUUUAGGAACUUAUUUACUUAGUUUAUUCAUAUUUUUUGUAACAUCCAUGACUAGGUGUAUCUUUUGUUUUUGCUUAAGAACCGUCGAGUUUUAUUUAGGAUCAUACUUAUUUAGUUUAUUGCUAAUUUUUACGGUUCAGUUUAAUUCUUUACUUCCACGUUAUUGGUACUUUCUAGGUGUUCUUUCUUUCUUUCUAAUUAAGUGAUUUGAAUUCCUUUUCAACUAAAACAUGCAAUUGAAUAAUAUUUUUUUUCUUGUUUCUUUCUUGGCAUCCUGAUCUUAGUCGCUGUAUAUCAUAUGCGGAUUCCUAGUUGCUGUAAAACUUAACAACUCUUAGGGUUUCACGUCAAUUGCAUGCCUUCACAAAGAGAGGCUGCAUGUAUUUAUAGUCACGUUCAGAUUACAUUAGGGAUUGAAAUCCCUAUUUACAAGGCUGUUUCAAAGCCAAAAGUACAACAGAAACUACAAAACGUAUUACAGAAAACAACUAACAUUCGAAAGGAAGUUUGAACUAAGCUAACUCUUCUUGGAUAAGAGUUUAGGUUGAUCACAACCUCCUGAAUUUGAGGAAACCACCACCAGACGCGGACUUGGUCUAACAGCCCCCCGCAAGCUGACAGGAGGAGAAACAAAUGGAAGGUUGGAAACAAGAUGUGUGAACCGGGAAGAUGACAAUCCUUUGGUAAAUAGAUCAGCAAUCUGAUCUUGAGAACAUAUGAAAUUCACAAAUAACUCUUGGCGAACCACUUUCUCACGAACAUAGUGAUAAUCCACCUCCAAGUGCUUUGUACGGGAUGAAAAACGGGAUUUGAAGCGAGGGCAAUGGAGGAAACAUUGUCACACCAGAUGGUUGGGCGAUCAAGAUGCAAGUGGAGGUCACGAAAUAAAGACCGGAACCAUGAUAAUUCUGCAGCAGUAUAAGCAAGCUGCUGAUAUUCAGCUUCUGAACUCGACCUACUGACAGUUUUCUGCUUUUUAGAAAUCCAAGACACGAGAUUGGACCCGAAGUAAAUGCAAAAACCACCUGUGGAAUGCCGUGUAUCAGGAUUCCCAGCGUAAUCAGCAUCAGAAUACGCUGUAAGGUGUGCAGUCCCAGGUUUAUACACAAGACCAUGAUUGAAUGUGGCUUUAACAUAUCGAAGGAUCCGUUUGACUGCCAUCCAGUGAGUAGUCCUGGGAGAAUGCAUGAACUGACAUACCUGGUUGACUGCAUAAGAAAGGUCUGGUCGCGUGAUAGUUAAAUACUGAAGUGCACCGACAACACUUCGAUACAUCUCGUAAUCAUCAUGGGGCUCACCGGUGUAAGCACUAAGUUUCUGUCCACAAGAAACCAGUGUGGAAAUGGGUUUAGCAUCCAAAAACUUAGUACGCUUAAGCAAGUCCACAGCAUACUUGGCCUGAUUCAAAUGCAUUUGAUCACCACAAUAGGUUACUUCGACACCCAGAAAGUAAUGAAGAGGCCCAAAGUCCUUCAUUGAAAACAAAGUUCCCAGUUUAUGGAUUAAGCGAGACAUGUGGCGAAGACUAUUCCCUGUCAACAAUAUAUCAUCCACAUAGAUCAAUAAAAUCAAGUAGAGACCAGAGUGAUUGAAAACAAAUAAACUGUAAUCACACGUGGAUGCUUGAAACCCUAAUUGCAGUAAAAACUCUGAAAAACGUUGAAACCAAGCUCGCGGAGCUUGUUUCAAUCCGUAUAUACUCCUUUGCAAUUUGCAGACAUGUUUGGGAUGCUGCUCAUCAAUGAAACCUGCAGGUUGGCGCAUAUAUACGGUCUCCUUUAGAAAGCCAUGCAAGAAAGCAUUUUGUACAUCCAAUUGCCUGAUAUGCCAUUUGUUUGAAACUGCCAAACUAAGAACAAGGCGUAUGAUGCUAUGCUUGACCACAUGACUAAAGGUCUCGGUGUAAUCAAUCCCAGGCUGUUGAUGAAAACCAUUUGCAACUAACCUCGCCUUGUGCCUUUCUACAGAGCCAUCUGCCCUUUGUUUGAUCUUAAAUACCCAUUUGUUGGGCAGCACAUUCAUUUGGGAAUGAUAAGGAACAAGCUCCCACGUGCCACAUCGCUGCAGGGCAUUAAAUUCUUGAACCAUGGCGUCCCUCCAUUGGGAUUGCUUGACAGCCUGACUGAAACAUGUAGGUUCAACUAAAGAAGGAUCAAUAGAGACAUGUAUAACAUAUUUAGGAUUAGGUUUCUGUAUUCCCGACUGUGAUCGAGUCGUCAUGCGUGGCCUUGGUAUGGAGGAUUGAUGUAUUGAAGCAACAUCGUGGGCUGAAGAUGGCAGGGAGUGAGGCGUGGGGGACUCAACAACUGGGGCUUGCUCAUUUAAAUUUUGGUUUGUGGAACUAGGGUCAGGGAGAGAUAAGGUGGCUGGCGGGUUGGACGGAGAAGAUAACAUGGGAUGGGGAGGAAUAGUAUUGUGGUGAGGAUUUGGCGGAGUGGACGUGGUUAUGGUUGGCUGGGAUGGGGACUCUAAAGGUUGGUUAGGGUUCAGCAAAGGGUUGGACGUAUCUGAUAAAAGGAUAGGAAAUGUGAACAAAAGAUCAGGAGAUGAAAAACUACCUGUGUUAUCAAUGUUUUCCCGCAAGGAUGUGAGUUCCUUAAAUGAAAAUGAGUCCUCAUCGAAUAGGACAUGGCGAGACAAAUAAAUUCGUCUCGUGGACAGGUCCAAACAUUUAUACCCUUGAUGAUUCAGUGAGUAUCCUAAAAAUACACAUGGUUUUGACUUAGGUUGAAGUUUAUUUUGUGCAUAAGGAACAAGCCAAGGAAAACACUUGCAACCAAACACUUUUAACGUCUCAUAGUUUGGAGAUUUUUCAAACAAAGUCUCAUAGGGCGAUUUAUGAGACAAAACCCGAGUUGGCAGUCUAUUAAUUAAAUAAGUGGCUGUAGAACAAGCAUCAAACCAAUAUUUGUUCGGAAUGUGAGAGAGAGACAGCAUGACAAUACUCGUUUCAACAAUAUGGCGAUGUUUGCGUUCUGCAAGGCCAUUUUGCUCGGGAUGUUUUGGACACGAAAACCUUUGAGAAAUGCCAUGUGUUGCAAGAAAUUGUUGAAAACUAUGACUUUUGUACUCACCUCCUUCAUCACAUUGAAGGGUUUUUAUGGAAGUAUUAAACAUAUUCUCGAUCUUAGCUUUAAAUUGAACAAAUAUGGCAAACACUUCAGACUUAUUUUUCAUGGGAAAAAUCCAAGAAUACCUAGAAUAAUCAUCGACAAACAAGACAUAAUAGCAAAAACCUUCAAUUGAAAUAACUGGAGAACACCAAACAUCGGAAUGUAAAAGUUGUAAAGGAAAUUGAGAAACAGACUCUGAAGUACUAAACGGUAACUUAGUACUUUUUCCUAAAGGACACGACUGACAAAACGUUACAUCAACAAUACCAUGAAUCGGUACUUGUUUAUUUGAAAUUAAAAACUUGAUAAUAGAAGACGCAGGAUGACAAAGACGUGAAUGCCAUUUUUGAGCCGAGACUCGAAUGCCUAGACACACAGAAAUAGGGUGAUUGAACUGUCCACUGCCACCAACAAAUGGGUAUAAGCCAUUCUCACAUCUCCCGCGGAAAAGUGUCUUCCGGGUCUUGAGGUCCUUAACAAGAAAAAAAUGAGGAAAGAUGAGUAAAUAACAAUUAUUAUCUAGGGUAAAUCGGUGUGCAGAAAUAAUGUUGGUUGAGGCAGUGGGGCAUCUUAAAAUAUUUUGUAAUUUAAAUGAGCAAGAGAGAGUUGGGAUUUGAUGCGAACCCACAUGAGAGAUAGAAAGGCCAGUAUCAUUACCUACACCACCCACAUUCUGAUUACCAUUAUACUCUUUUGGGUUUACCAAAUUCUGGAUGUCGGGAGUUACAUGCGCAUUAGCACCGGUGUCCAAAAGCCACUGUCCAUUAUUCUGUCGAUUGAGAGAACCCGGAGAUGUUGCCAUGGCAGUGAGCUGUUUGCUGGAAUUCUCCCUUCAUAGGCUGCAUUCAUUCUUUGAUAACAAUCGAGAGCAGGAUGCCCUUGUUUUCCACAUAUCUGGCAGGUGAGACGUUCUCCUGUGGUAGUAAAUUUCUCACCAUUGCAGGCCGAAUUUGGCCUUGGAUUAUUGUUGUGAGGAAAGAACCCUCGCGGAUUGACAGCACCACCACCACGUGCAAACUGAAAACCACCACGUCCAGUGCCACGAAGUCGUCCACCAUGACCUCUGGCAGUGACAAAAGCAUUCACCGGAACAGCCUCCACAUGCUGAAUAGUCUGAGCAGCCAUUCGUCUCUCGGUAGUCAGGAUGAGGGCCUCAAGUAUAGGGUACGCGAUUGGAGUAUCACGUGCUUGAGCAGCACUCACUGUCAUUUCAUAUGCAGGGCCCAAAUUAUUCAAUAUAAUCUGGACAAGUUCAUCAUCAUUCACGGGGUUGCCAGCUAGGGCAAGGUUAUCAGCAAUCGAGUUCAUUCGAUCAAGAUAAUCAGCAAUAGACAUAUCACAUUUCUUAGUUUGCAUCAGUUCAUUGCGAAGGAACAAAAUACGAUUUUGGGACGUAGAAGCAUACCGUUGCUCGAGAGCCUCCCAUGUGUCAUGAGAGGACCGCUUGUUGGCGACAACAGACAACACAGAGGGCGUAAGAGAGCCAUUGAUCCAGCUUAGGAUCAUUUGAUCAUGCUGCACCCAGGUUGUGUAUGCUGGGUUGAGAGCAUCCGCACCAGGAAGAUGUUUGGGUGGGCAUACGAUGGACCCAUCAACAUAUCCCAUCAGGUUACGACUCUUGAGGAUUGGUAGGAUCUGAGCCAACCACAGAGGAUAGUUGGUUCGAUCCAGUUUGAUGUUGACAACUGUGGUCAUGGAUGAGAAAGGGUUCAGGGCAGGGUUUGAAAGAGAGGUGGUGAAGGGUGCAGUGGUGGAGGAUGCAGCGCCGUUUGCGUUAUCAGCCAUGGAAAAAAAAAUAUCAGGAUCUAAGUCGUUAGACUGCUAGGGCUCGUAUACCAUGUAAAACUUAACAACUCUUAGGGUUUCACGUCAAUUGCAUGCCUUCACAAAGAGAGGCUGCAUGUAUUUAUAGUCACAUUCAGAUUACAUCAGGGAUUGAAAUCCCUAUUUACAAGGCUGUUUCAAAGCCAAAAGUACAACAGAAACUACAAAACGUAUUACAGAAAACAACUAAAUUCGAAAGGAAGUUUGAACUAAGCUAACUCUUCUUGGAUAAGAGUUUAGGUUGAUCACAACCUCCUGAAUUUGAGGAAACCACCACCAGACGCGGACUUGGUCUAACAGUUGCUUCUACUACUCAUGGCCCUUACUACCAAAAAUUCUCAGCUCCCGCCGGCAUCAUCACAAGAUUACUUCAAAAUCAACAGCCUCCCUGACGAGUUGUUGGUUGAAAUCCUUUGUCGACUCUCAUGCAACAAGUUGGUUUCACAAUGCAAAUUCUUGUGCAAGCGGUGGUUCCUCCUCCUCUCCAAUCCUGACAUUGUUGGCCGUUUUGUAUGUCUCCAAAAGGAUAAGAAAAAUCCCAGUACCUGCGGUAUGCUGUUUUCACUGUUUUUCGCACAAAAAGAUCGCGUCGCCGCAUUUUUUACACCGAGUUCCCAAUUCCCGGAAUCUUUAAGAAGUAGGUUAUCUACUAUGAGUUUCAUCCCUUCUUUUGAUCCAAAAUGUGGUUGGAUGAAGGAUGUAUUAUCCGUGUACAAUGACCUAGUUUUAUGCUACUGGGGAUAUUCGCCUAAUGACUCGAGCAUUUACUACAUCAUUUGCAAUCCAUACACCAGCCACUGGGUUGCUCUACCUCCUGCCCCAGCAUGGCAUGAUAUUCUACCAGCGGAAUUGAUUUGCGAUCCCUACUAUAAGUUUCCGGAAGAUGAUAACAAAUCUUGUGAACAAAAUAAUAUCGUUAACGCUGAGUAUAGGUGCAAGGUUGUGCGAUUUCAUUUAUAUUUGCCAGAUCCCUUUCGAUGCAAAAUGGACAUGUUCUCUUCUGAGACCGGUGUAUGGAAAGAGCUGGUUGUAGUAUCCCCACGAGAAUUCGGUGUCUACUGCAAUGACUCCUUUCCUCGUGCGGGUUUUCCUUGCAAAGGAAAGUUGUACUGGGCAGGCACUGGUGGCGUUAUGGGGUUGGAUCCGUUGGCGUACAACGACAAUAACUCUAGUAGUGCUUGUGAUGGUCGUGAAGUUUUUGAUAAAUGUUAUUUCGUCUUGAUGAGGUUAAGCUGCCUGUACACCUUGACAAGUUCUUAUGUGAGAGUCGAGGCAUGUUAUGCCUCGUAGCGUUUCAGCACAUUUACGAAGAUGUUCGUAUCUGGGAGAUGAAAGGAGAUGUUGAGGAUGGCUGUUGUUUCACUAUUAGACAGGGGGUUUGCUUAUUGCCAAGGAUGGAACGAUCUGGUCUGUGGCGUCAGUUGUACGAUGAAGGAGAGGCCACGAGAUUGUUGCCUUUGGACUCGUUUGAUGAGGAUAUCAUGUAUCUACAGUCAAGUAGAUCGAUUUUCAUGACAUUUGUGCAAGGAAGAUACUGAAAAUUACAGACGGAGAGGUGAUACGUGUUUUACCAUUUGCGCUCCCAUGGUGGCCGACACCAGUCCCUAAAAUGGUACCACCACCAGAAGCCAUCAGUUCCUAGUAUUUUUAUUUUUUUGGGGCAAGAUAUCAAUUCAUACCAUGAACGUCUUGACAGACCUAAUUUAUUUCCGUUUCACUUCUUUGAUAUUAAUGUUUAUGAUUCUGAGUAAUGUUUGUAGAUUAAUUUCGUGUACAUUGUCGCUUGAAAUAACCGUAUUUGAAUCAUAUGAUGGCAUUGCCAAAUUGUAUGUAUUAUUUGAAAGAGAAACAUUACAUGCCACAACAGAAUUACAAAGUUUGCCUUCUGCAUAAGAUUCGUCACCGCUACACUAUUGGCAGUUUCAUAUCACAUGCUUAUUUCCAAGGGACAAAUCUCACUUCGUCACUGGCAAUCUUCGAGCAAAGCAUUAGCGUUUCAAAUAUGCUUUCCGAGGAAGGUGAGGAUCAGCUGAUUGACCUCUUCAGGCGACUGUUCUUGAACAAAAUGCGUUCCUUCGGGAAGAAAUACAAUCUCCAAAUCAGGGACAAACUCUUUGAUCUUUCCACUGUUUAUGUAAUCCUCUAUCCCUGGAAAUUUGUUAACAUAAUCCUUGCCUCCCAUUAUAAAAAGCGCCGGAGCUUUAACUAUUGGAUCUGCUACAUCGGACUCUUCUCUAAUUGCCCUAUCGAUGUGUAAAAAGAGUUCAACGGUCAUUAACGAGUAUGUGCUUACAACUUGGUCAAAUAUUGCUAGGGGUGAUCGUUCUGUCUACAUUAACAGUUCGAGUAUGUAACAGUAUGAAACCACUUGGUCAACUACAUUACCUGUAUGGAACUUGCAGCGCAGUUCGGAAACCCGAUUUCUCAUACAAAGCUCCAUAUGCGGCAAGAUCUUCCUCACAGAACCAAGGGGGAAGAGGCGUAGAUGGAUCCACUAGGUCCAUGAUCUCCUGGUCUUCUGCAGCUAUUGGUAUUUCGCUUCUGGAAAAAAGGAUGUAAACAUUCCGAACAACCGUUUUCGCAUCGAGGCGCCCAAAAUCAGCCUCUGCACGUCCAGGUUCCUGUAACAUAGGCAACAGUUAGUUGCAAACUCGCAAGAAAUUCAUGCUUGCAAUAGUAUUGAACAUAUAACAAGACCAGGUAAAUGCACACCUGCCAUCUUGAAAUGUAGAAACCUUCUGGGAGGUAGUUGCCCGUUUUACGAGGGCCUGGUGGCAUGAUUGGCAAUCCCAUUGUUACAACGCCUACGACCCUCUCGGGGUGCAGAAGAGAAAAUAAUGUCGCCACCCCAACUCCAAAAUCUUUUGCAAUUAGGAAAACCUAUGCAAAUUUGAAUACAAUUUCCAAAGCCUUAAAUCCUCAUAGCCAUUAACAUCAGAAAGUGUUCAUCCAAAAGUUGAAUACAAUUACCAACUAGCUCUCAAGUUUAGUGAUAUUUCGAAGAGAAAUGCAAAGGGGACUCUUAUCAAAAGUGGGCUCUCCAUAGACUCUUUGCACCUCAUGUUUUUUGCACAAUGUUUUAUAGUGUUGGCAUAAGAAUUGACGUUAAACUGUAAGGUGCUACGGUCUAUAGAGAGUCCCACCUUUGAGAGAGUCCUCUUAGCAUUUCUCUACUUCGAAUCCGCACUCCGAUUAUCCAAAUGAAUUAAUUUUCUUUUAAUCAAAUUAGUACUAAUGACAAGAAAAACUUCAGGGAUGCCAAAACAAAAGGAAAAAGGAGACUUGUAUUUUAUUCACCAUAUGUACCAACCUAAACAAACUGGAGAUUCCAAGAAAUAUCUAUGGAGUUAAAGGAAUUUUUUUUUUGUUAAUUUAAGCAAGUUAAUUAAUUGGAAUUAAUAAUAAUUAAGGAGAAAAAUCCGAUGAUUCUUUCCAAUAAGUACCUUGGGAAUAGCAAGGGAAUCGAGAAUUCCAAGGAUGUCACUGGCGAGGUCACGGUACGAGGUCUUCUCGGAUUGGGGAGGAGGGUCGGAUAGUCCGUAUCCGCGGUAGUCGGGAGCGAUGGCCCGGAAGCCGGCGUUGGCCGCCGCAACCAUCUGGUGCCGCCACGAGUACCAAAUUUCCGGGAAACCGUGCAGGAACACAACCACAUUGGAACCUAUGAUAAACAAAAAAAGACGGCGAUCGAUCGAUUAUGGUUGUGUUCGGUUGUGUUAAGAAUAAUAAAUACGCUACGGUGCCGGACGAGGAAUUGGGGAGGCAAAUAAUCUGACCUGUUCCGAUGUCGGCGACGUGGAGCUUCAGGCCUUGUACGGUUAUGUACUUGUGCUGGAUUUGCUCCAUUUCAGGUGGUUUUUCAGACGACAAUCACAAAGUGUACGAAAAAGAUAGAGAGAGAGAGAGAGAGAGAGAUCACUUCUGGUUCCGACAAGACAAUGUUUGGACUUGCCAAAAAUUGAAGCAGCUAGCAUCAAAUAGGAGGGCAUUUACGUCCAUAACCCAAGUUACAUUUUUAUUUUACUAUUUAUAAUUACUAGUCAUUUUUAUGUUGUUUUCCUUGGGGCUUCUCCUUAUAAUUUUUGUUUCGUUUCAGAAAAAUGAUAUUCUGACUCAUAUUUUAAUUCUAAUUAGAUAUUGUAGCUCGUAUAUCUAAUUAAAAUAUUUAAUAACUUGUGUGCCCUUGAAAAUGUUUGACAGUCUCAUUCUGUUUCUUAAAACUUCUUUUGAUUCAGUUUACUUAUUUUUUAAAAUGUGUAAAUGUGCUUUAUUUUAUCGUAUAUCGUUAGCUUCAUUAAGUUUUUUAUCAAUGUCGCUUAUGAUGACAUGUCAAAAAAGAGGACCUUUUUGUCUUUCCCCUUUUUGUCUGUCCUUUUAGUUGUGGUGUCCUUCCAUGCCCUCUUAUUUUGUACGGUCACGGUUAAAUCACGUCAACAUUUUAUAUUAAUUUUUUAAUAGAGAUAAUAAGACAAAAAUAAUAAAAAUAUAAAAUAUUGACGUGACUUAACCGUGACCGUACAAAUAAAAGAGCAUGGAAGGGCACCACAACUAGGACAACUAGGAGGGCAGACAAUCUGCCUCCCUCUCUCACACUGAUUUCUAUCUCUUGAUGGUAUUGAUUUUUGGCUAAAUAAUCUUUAAAAAAUAUGAGUUUUCAUCUUUUUUUAAUAAUUUAUGGUUCUCAUCUCCCUCCGUGAGUGAGUGGGUAAUGUUUAACUCGUACGAAAAACAGCUUCAAUAUUCAAUUACUACUACUCCAUUGCAUGAUUUUAAUUUUAAACCGCAAAUUCUUAACUAAAAGUUUUAAUGACAUUACUGUUCGUUUGUUCAAAAGUUUUUUUGGUUAAUGUUUUUCAUACAAGCAAUACUGGGGAGGAGAAAUUAAACACACGGCUCGGGAUGUAGGUAAAUCAAGUGCCCCCAGCUCUGAGCAACUCCAUCCUGAAUGAUCAAAUAUGAGCUUGUACUUCAAUUCCUUUUUUUUUCCUUAAAACAAACCUUUAAAAGUGCAUUAAUAAGGAAAAUCAAACCAACACAGAAACAAGAAAGUUCAAACAGAGAGAACAUGUUAAAAACAGAUCAAGCAGGAAGUUUCCUAACCAAAAAGACAAACUGUAUCUGCAAACUAGCUGAUUAAACCAGGAAGUUUCCUAGCUUACAUGGUCAUCGUGGUCGUCGUCAUCAUCUUGGUUGUCAUCACCCUCGUCAUUAGUAUCAUCGUCGUCGUCAUCCUCACUAUCAUCCUCAUCAUCAUUUUCAUAAUCCUCAUGAAAAUCUUCAUCAUUUUCGGUGGGAAUUUCUUCUAAGGCCCUACCGUAAGGGAUAGGAUAGUAACGAUAGUACAAACGACCUUCGAAAGUCUUGUCACACACUAAACGUACCCCUGUUUUCUUCACCAUGAACUCACUACGUAAACGUACCCCUGUUUUCUUCACCAUGAACUGAUCACUACGUAGAAUCUUUGCAAUAACGAGGACCAAAUCGCCUUCUUCGAAAUUGAACUUAUCUUCCCAUAACGGUAUAUGCCCCAGCCAAAGGUACUCUCCACCGCAAGCUGGUGGGCUCAUUAGGUCGACAAAAAAACUAGUACGCUUGGUGUGAUUAAUAACACAAAUGAAACAAGAACCAAAAAACACGCUGUCGACAUCAAUAAAAGAACGAUAAGCCAUGCACACAGCCAACGCUUUUGCAUUACAACCAAUUUCCUUAGGCACUUCGAAAGAGACUUGGGUACCCUCGUUGACAUGAUUGAACCAAGUGGGAAUUUGUCUUCCUACAAGAGUCUCAUGUAUCCAUCUCCUGUCCAUCCCUAUACCAUGUUGAACAAGAUUUGUGUGAGUAAUACAUGCAUAACACACAUAUGCGAGGGAAGGAGGAGAGGGGGUGCUGUGGAAGAGAGAGAGAACCUGUAGCGUGCUAUCCUUAAGAAGGAAAUCCAUGACAUUGUUGUGUGUUAACAUAUCAAGUCUGAGGCCCGAGUUUAACGCACUCUCCAAGCCUGGAAACUCAAUGAGUUUGGGGGAACCGAGAUACACGAUUGUCGACAUGCCUGAAAAAUCUGACAUUCUUUCUAAUGCAGAGCAGUCCUUCAUCUCCAAGAUACCCAAACUUUUUGGUAAAUCUGUGAUCUCGACAAGGUUUCUGCAACUAUCCAAGCGUAGUUCAAUAAGCAUGGACAGGUCACCGAGGCUUGGAAGGCUCCGAAAAUUAUUGUUGCCUAGAAAUAAGUACUCUAAACAAGGUAGACUACUCCCAAUAUCAUUAGGCACUUCCAUUAAAUUGCAGUGUCUCAAAGAUAACUCUGUUAAAGAGCCUAAGCCUCGUAAGGAAGGUAGCUGCAAAGGACACUUCAAGUAACUCAAAGAUAGGCACUCGAGCUUCUCCAGUCGUACGAUGGAAGGUGGUACUUUUUUUAUGGCCGUCCCAUCAGCAAAAAGAGUGACCAAUGAUGCCAUUUUUCCCAAGUGCUCAGACAAGCUUCGGAAUCUUGAACAACCAUCGAGAACAAGAGUUUUGACAGAUUUCGACUUGUAGAAAUUCCUCGGGAGAGCCUUAAGCGUUUCGCAGUCUUUCAAAUUCACCAACACAAGACUCUUGAGAUCUCCGAUGGACUUGUGAACUUUAGCCAACCUCUUACAGUCUUUGAGUAUCAAUUUCUCAAGAUUUGGGAAUUUUGAAAAGUCUGGCGAUUGUGUUAAAUCGUGGGAGUGGCUGAGAUUCAGAAUCUUCAACUUACCAAGCAACUGUUACGAAAAAUCAAAUUUAAAUAAAAAAUUUAAAUCCAAAAAGAAGAUACAGAGAGCAUAAAAAUAAUUCAUAAUUUUGUUCAGGUUACGCAUUGUACUUACCCCAGAAUACUCACAAAGAACUUGUUUGAGGCUGCUGUACCGCAUGUCGAUAGCGACUAUGUUUGGUUGACAUAGUUCUAUAGGUAUGAACUCCAAUGGGAAUCCAUGCCAGCACAACCAUCUUAAUUUUUUGGAAAGACAUUGGUAUCCCCCAGCAAGCCGAACGUAGUUUAGUUGGAGCAAUCUCAGUCCCUUCAUAUUUCUAAAUGCCUCAGUACUGAAACUAGUCUCUUCAAGGCUCAGCAUGUUCAAAGCCAGACCACCAAUUUUUUCAGUUCCCUGCUAUCCGAAAAACAGACUCUAAAUAAGAGAAGGCUUUGCAUGAAAAAAAGUUCGAUUACUUAUACUUCUCUUUCAUUACGUACACGUUUAACAUAAAGUUCAAUUGGGAAAGUACUUACAGAUUUGUCUAUCAACACAGCAUUUACAUCUUCAGGAUGCCACAAUCUACUUCGUUCUCCAGCGAAAUCAGGAUUUUCUGCAUGCACGAUAUCUCUGCCCAUAUCGCGAAGCAAAUCAUGCAUCAUCAUCUUGUUUUUGCCAUUAAUAGUUACAAGGCACCGAUCAAGGAGGACCUUGAUUCCUGCUGUUGCAUAAAGGCCACAACCAUCCAAGAUUUGUAUGACAUCAUUCUUGUCCAUUCCGAUAAAAAAACAAGCUAUAUCAAGGAAUAUCCCCCUCUCGUAAUCAUCAUUUAGCCCGUCGUAGCUUAUUUUCAGCUGUGCCUGAAUUUUUCCAGGAGGAAUUAUUUUCAAUUUAUCCAAUAUACUUUUCCAUUCUACUACACUUCCUUCGAAAAGAGUAGAUCCUAAAAUUUGAAGAGCCAACGGCAGUCCUCCACAGUAAUUGACAACUUCUUUUGCAAGCUCGAGAUAUUUACUAGGACAACAACUACUUCUGAAAGCAUGCCAACUUAGGAGCUCAAGAGCUUCUUUUCGAUCCAUUCUUUUUGCCGGAAAUAUCAUAUCAACUGCUAAUUGUUUCAGUAUAUGUUUGUUUCUUGUUGUGAUGAUAAUUCUGCUCCCCGGGCCAAAAGAGUGGCGAUUUCCAGCUAAUUCGUGUAGCUGCUUCACAUCGUCUACAUCAUCAAAUAUGACAAGUACCUUUAAGCAUUGAAAUCUUUCCCCUACCAAGGCGGUCCCUGCAGCAACACUGCUUACCUUUGUCUUGGUCGUUUGCAAGAUAUCAAAAAGAAGUUGUUUUUGCAAUUUUUCUAGUUUCUUUUCCCUCACUUUUUCAAGGAAACUUUUACCUUCAAACAUUUCAUAAAAUUUGUUAUAAAUGGCUUUUGCAAUCGUUGUUUUACCUAUUCCACCCAUACCUGUAAUUCCAAUCACGCGAACAUCAUCCGAACAUCCGAUGCCUAAACAUUUACUGAUAUCUAGCACUCGAGAAUCUAUUCCGACUGGGUAGGGCGCUACGUCUAAAUAUUUGUUGUUCAGCUUCGUAGUGACUUCAUUAGUAAUCAUCCUGAUAAACUUUGCUUCAUGCCUGGCAUUAGUGAAGUUGAGAAGCAAAACGAAGAUUGUUAUACAACUACAAGACGAAAUUGAACUAAUACACAAAAUUAUUUAUCAUGAUUAGAGAUUUUAAUUAAGACAAUUUUCUUUGAGGUGUUGUGCUUAAACUUAGCAGACAUCAAUUAAACUUAAAAUUAAAUAAGAAACACAAACAAACAAAACCAACAUCCCCACCGCAGGCAUUCGCCGGCGGCUUCCCAGCUGUGACUAGUGUAGCCUUAACAGUUUAAGCUUUAUUGUAUGAUUUUAUUAAAAGAGGUCUAAGAAAUCGCAUGCUUCCAAAUUAAUAAGCAAAGGUACGUUAAAGCCUUAAUUCAUAAGAAAAGAAAUUAGUAAGUACCCGUCCAAAGUGUUUCUGAGAUCCCAGCCAGACAAAUUCGAAGCUUCAUUAAGAGCGGUUCUCCACCUCUCUAACUUCCACCUCUCUACCUUCUUUUCAUCUGUAUGUUUCAGAAACGAUUGUGCAAAACUACCAUUCUGUUUCCUGACAUGGGAAGGAUCAACGUCAUAGAAUAUUGGCAAAACUAAUUGCCCUAGCGUUCUUCUACAUUCCAUGAUCUUAACCAGCUCCUCGAGACACCAACUGGAGUCCGCGUACCAUUUUGAGAAGACGAUGAUAGAGAUCCUAGAACCCUGGAUUGCCCGCACAAGUUCGGUAGUUAUAUCUUCUCCUCUUCUUAGUUCUUCGUCGUCAAUAAAGGCGUUGAUUCCGGCCUUUGUCAAUGCUUCGUGGAGGUGGCCCGUGAAGUUUUUACGUGUGUCUUCGCCUCUGAAGCUUAUGAACACUUCGUAAAGCGAGCCUUUUGAGGAGGACGAUGACGAGGAGGCAGAGGAGAACGAUGAGGAUGAGGAUGAGGGCAAGGAGGUGGAGGAGGCAGAGGAGGAAGAUGAGGAUGAGGGUGAGGGCGAGGAGGCGGAGAAGGACGAUGAGGAUGAGGGCAAGGAGGAGGACGAGGACGAGGCUUUAUCGGGGAUGGAGAUAUUCAUUUGGCGAAAGACGAGGCCGAGGGAGCAGAGGAGGAAGAUGAGGACAUCAAAGACAAGACUGGAAUUGCGAGCCACAAAGUGGUAGGGCACUAACACCAGCACCAGAGUUAACAACUUCCCUAAGCUCAACCAAGAUAUAUCGCGGAAUAUCUCCCUCUCGUAGUCAUCAUUCAACCCUUUGUAACUUAUUUUCAGCUGUUCCUGAAUGUUAUCAAGAGGAAUUUCUUUCAAUUUAUCCAAUGUACUUUUCCAAUCUCCUAUGCUUCGGUUGAACAGGUUAGAACCUAAAACUUGAAGAGCCAAUGGCACUCCUCCACAGUAAUUGACAACUUCUCUUGCAAGCUCAAGAUAUUGACUAGGACAACAACUACUUCUGAAAGCAUGCCAAUUUAGGAGCUCAAGAGCUUCUUCUCGUUUCAUUUCUAUCGCCGGAUAUACCAUAUCAACUGCAAAUUCUUUUAACACAUGUUCGUUUCUUGUUGUGAUGAUAAUUCUGCUCCCCGAGCCAAAAGAAUGGCGAUUUCUAACUAAUUCCUGUAGCUGCUUCACAUCGUCUACAUCAUCAAAUAUGAAAAGUACCUUUAAGCGUCGAAAUCUUUCCCCUACCAAGGCGGUCCCUGCAGCAACACUGCUUACUUUUGUCUUGGUGGUUUGCAAGAUAUCAAAAAGAAGUUGUUUUUGCAAUUUUUCUAGUUUCUUUUCCCUCACUUUUUCAAGGAAACUUUUACCUCGAAACUUGUCAGAAAAUUGAUUAUAAAUGGCUUUAGCAAGCGUUGUUUUACCUAUUCCACCCAUGCCCAAAAUUCCAAUCACCCGAACAUCAUCUGAAUCUCCGAUGCAUAAAUAAUUACUAAUAUCUUGCACUCGAGAAUCUAUUCCGACUUGGUAGGGCGCUACGUCUAAGUAUGUGUUGUUCAGCUUCCUAGUGACUUCCUCAGUAAUCAUCCUGAUAAACUUGGCUUCAUGCCUGGCAUUAGUCAAGUUGAGAAGCAAAACGAAGAUUAUUAUACAACUACAAGACGAAAUUGAACUAAUACACAAAAUUACUUAUUAUGACUAGAGAUUUUAUUUAAGACAAUCUUCUUUGAGGUGUUGUGUUUAAACUUAGCAAACAUCAAUUAAAAAUUCAAAUUAGAAACACAAACAAACAAAACCAGCAUCUCUUCCCUCUGCAGCCAUUCGACGGCGGCUCUCCUGCUGUGUUAGUGUAAGCUUAACAGUUGAAGCUUUAUUGUAUGAUUUUAUUAAAAGAGGUUUAAGAAAUCUCAUGCUUCCAAAUUAAUAAGAAAAGGCACGUUAAAGCCUAAAUUCAUAAGAGAAGAAAUUAGUAAGUACCCGCCCAAAGUGUUUUGGAGAUCCCAGCCAGACAAAUUCGAAGCUUCAGUAAGAGCAGUUCUCCACCUCUCUUCCUUCCAUCUCGCUACCUUCUUUUCAUCUAUAUGUUUCAGAAACAAUUGUCCAAAACUGUCAAUCUGCUUCCUGACAUGCGAAGGAUCAAUGUCAUAGAAUGCCGGCAAAACUAAUUGCCCCAGCGUUCUUCUACACUCCAUGAUCUUAACCAGCUCCUCGAGGCACCAGCUGGAGUUCGCAUAUUGUCUAGAGAAGACGAUGAUAGAGAUCUUGGAACCUUGGAUUGCCCGCUCAAAUGCGGUUGUUAAUUCUUCUCCCCUUUUUAGUUCUUCGUCGUCAAUAAAAGCAUUGAUUCCAGCCUUUGUUAAUGCUUCAUAGAGGUGGCCCGUGAAGUUUUUACGUGUGUCUUCGCCUCUGAAGCUUAUGAACACGUCGUAGAGCGAACCUUUUGAGAAGGAGGACGAGGACAAGGAGGCGGAGGUGGACGAUGAGGAUGAGGAUCCGGGUGAGGAGGAGGAGGACGACGAGGCUUUAUUGGGGACUGAGGCAUUCACUUGGUGAAAGACGAGGCCGAGGGAGCAGAGGAGGAAGAUGAGGACAUCAAAGACAAGACCGGAAUUGCGAGCCGCAAAGUGGUAGGACACCAACACCAGCACCAAAGUUAACAGCUUCCCUAAGCUCGACCAGGUAUCCAUUUCCUUCAUUUUCUUUAGGCAAAUUGAAGGUUUUUGGAGAGGAUCCUCUCCGGACCCAAACCCACCGGAGCCUCCGGAUCUUCCUCCUUCUUCCUUCUUCUCUGCAGAUUUCCUUCUUCCUUCUUCUCUGCAGAUUUGGUUCUGCUUCUUCUUCAAUUCUUCUUCUUCAAUUAUGCAUCUUCUUCUUCACUUCCUUCUUCCUUCUUUGUUUGUGUAUCGGAAAACUUUCUUCUUCAAUUAUGCAUCUUCUGCAUCUUCUCCGACAACCAGCUCCGAGGAAGUCACGACGCCGGCUUCGGGAAAGCACGACGCCGGCUCCGGGAAAGCCCAAGAUGCCGACGAAGACGGAUCCGGAUGCUCCGGUGGGUUUGGGUCCGGAGAGGAUCCUCUCCCAAGGUUUUUGGCGAUAUUGAUUUUCUUUCCGUUCUGCCGGAACUACUUUCUUCUUCUUAUGAUUAAUAAACCCGUCAGCCCAUGAGGCUGGGCCCCAUUUCCCUCAGCCUUUUCCUUUUUCCUUUACUUUUUUCUUCUUUUUUGGCGAUUUUCCUUCACUUUUGGUCAAUCAUGUGCGUUUUCAUUGGACGGAGGACUAUGCAUGUUGGGUGAUCGCCAAACGGCUGGAAAAAAUUUAUAACCAAGCGGACAUUUUUUUUUUCUCUGAUGUUCAACUGCAAGCAGAAAUUCUGUUAGUUUAAAGGAUUUAAGGAUUAAGUGCAUUUUUUAAAGAGGAUUAGCUUGGAAGGGAUAACUAAGCAUAUUUAAAAGAUGAGUUAAAAUGUCCACAUCAGCAAUAACAGUAAAAAAAUACAGCAUUAGUGUCAGCAACUUCAAUUUUUUUUUAACAAACGAUAUUAUCAGGAAUGUCUCACAAUAAGCUAAUAAUAAUGUGGUUCAAACUUUUAUUCUUACUUUUUGUUCUAAAUACUUAUUAAAAUCAUGAAAAAUAAAUAAUAUAAUAAAAAGUGGUUUAAAUUUGACAUAUCAGAUGAAGAAUAAAAUUUUAAAAAAAAAUCAAAGUGCCACAUAAGCUUUCAAAUUUAAAAUCUACUUUGGAAAUGAACAAAUCAGUUGUUUUUUUUAUGGAUUUCUUUAUAGAUAAUGUUGGCGGUAUUAGAAAAUUUUAUUAACAUGAAAAAAAAUAUACUUAAUCAAUGGACAUAAACCUUAACCCUUAAUUUGGUCCAAGAUAUUAUUAGAGAAUUCCCACUUGAUUUGGUCCCAUAUAAUUUUAUUUUCCCUGCUAGCAAGAUUAUGAAUUCCAACUAUCUUUAGUUUUGUUGGAAUAAUUUCCCUAGCCAUAAUACAAAAUUAAGAAUACCAACUUUGCUUUUGUUUUUUUCGGCUAAAACAAUAAAAAAUAAAUAAAAAAAUCAAGAUCAAAGAAAAUGAUAGGAAAGAGCAACAGUGACACACCCCGUCCCGAAGGAGGGCAUGCUGGCCGUCACGUGAGAGUGACGUAACCAUUUGCACAGUACGGAAGCUUUAAUUAUACAAUUUAUAAGUUGAUACACCCGAAGGUGAGUCCUAAUUUUGUCCAAUCUGUCAGAACCCCGCUGUAUUCCUCGUAGUCACCACACCUUUGUGAUUCCUGAACCUGGAGGGGCGCAAAACCAAAAUUGAGUGGGUCAGUAAAACAAUUCUUUUCCAAAUCCAAACAUUUCUCAAAACGUUGUAACCCCUCUCCGUAAAACCUGUAUACUUUCCCAGAAAUGUAAAAUAUAAAUAUACAUAUAUAUUCUCAAAACUUCAUUUUUACUAUCUCAACAUUAUCUCUUUAUCAAUCAUGCCAUGCCAUGUCAUCUCAACAUUUCUCAUAUUAAUUAUGCCAUGCCACAUCAUCUCAACAGUAAUAAGGUAUGAAUGCAUCAACAUAAUCAUAUCAGGUGCAAGAAAGUAAUCAACCGUAGGCCCUCUAAUAGCCCUAUACGGUUGAACCUAGAGCUCAAAAUCUAUCAUUAUCACUCUACCGGAGUCACCUCUGUGACCCGUCCGGCCUUCUGCACACAAGUUACGCUCUAGUGCUUCUCAUAAAUCAUCUGUGCACAUAAUCUAAGGUCACCCACCAGUCGGAAUCUCACUAACACUCUCGCGACUGGUCUGUCGUACCCACUCCGCGUGGACUGUACGACUAGCAUCUACUUGGAUCCAAGGCGAGCGUGCGAUGCGGUGAAUACUAUAAGCACUAAACCAUGGUGCAGGAUUUGAGCUCAAUAUAUAUCAUCAUCAUCAUAACAGUAAUUAAAUACUCAUCUGUGCGUCCACCGCACCAUUUCAUACAUAUGCAUCAUAAAUCAAUUCUUACAUGUGCGUCCACCGCACCAAUUCAUACAUAUGCAUCAUAAAUCAAUUCUUACCUGUGCGUCCACCGCACCAAUUCAUACAUAUGCAUCAUAUAUUAAUUCAUGCAUGGCAUUUCAACUCACAUUUUUUAUAUUACUUUUCAUAUCAAUUCUAUGCAUGGUAUUUCACUUCCCGUUUUUCCACAUAACUCAUAUGCAUUUCAUUUUAAACAUAAUUUCAUGCAUUUUCAAUUUCUGGGAAAACGUUAAGUAUAUAUAUAUAUACGGAAAACAAAACUGCCCACUCACCUGGAGUUCGUUCCAACAACUCCCUAGCACCACACAUCAAAGGCGUCACGACGAUCGCCGCCUAGAAAUAGUAAUCAAAUCCAACCUCAGAAUUCAUAUCGAUAGAAUAUAUAUAACUUAUAUAAAUACGUCACUACGUAGUUCGAUCCGGAAGAUCUGCCACUCAGAUUUUAAAAUCCAUAACUUCCAGAGGUCCACAAUAUAUCUCUAGGAUAACAUCCUAAAAUUUCAUUACCAUCCAACGGUCGGAUCUCCGUCAAUUUCCAAAAACUAAGUGACGGUUAACAUUUUAUAUUAUGGACUUACAAUUCCAAUUCCGGAAGAUCCGUAACUCGGAUUUCCCAAUCCGUAAGUUCCAAUAAUCCUCAAAUAUUACGUAUUACAACGUAUCAAAGUUUGGUGACGAUCCAACGGUCGGAUCAUCAAUUCACAUUUUCACCUAAAUGUGAAAACUAUAAAACGUUAUUUGAACACCUAACCAACAAUCCUCAAUAACUUUCUCAUACGGUGUUCAAUUUAGGUAUAUGAAUAUACCACAGUGAUCUACUCGACGUCACGGACGUCGACAUAUUUUUAAAAUAAUUUUAUUUUUAUUUUAUUUUUAUUUUUACUGUAGCACCUUCUUCCUCCUUGGGUCGCCGGACUGGUUUUUCCGGCGGCCGUUUUCCGGGCAGUUUUUCAAAUUGCCAUAACUUUGUCAUUUCUCAACGAAAUCAAGUGAUUCAAAAACAAAAGUUGUAGCCCUUGAAGAGACAAAGAGAAUGGUACCUUGCACAACACCUAUUUCGCCGUGGUUUGGCCGGAAACUGCCUCGAAAGCCUCGGAGGUCGCCGGAAACUGGGUAUUUUUCAAAUGAGUAUAACUUCUUCAAUACUCAACGAAAUUGAGUGAAACAAAAAGGAAAGGUGUAGUAAUUGACGAGACGAAGAGAUUGAUACCUACUUCGACUCCUAACUCGCCGGGGAUUCGCCGGAAAACGCCUCGAAAGCUCCGGCCAAACUUUGAACUUGUCGAUCUCCGUGUUCUUACGUCCAAAAACUUCCAACGAAAGCACUCCGAGCUUCCUUGGGACCUCACUAAGCUUGCUAUGAUCUUAUUUUGGCCUAAAACACAACCACUUCAAAGAUCAUGAACAGUACACAUUCACGGGGUCUUUAGAACUAGGGUUUUUCGAAAUGAAACUUACCUGAAAAUGGUACCUACGUGAUCGUGAAGUCCUCAGGGUUGCAAUGGUAGUCUUAACUUGGACGUUGGUAUAGGUUUUAGGUGGUUUUGGUGGUUGCCCGUGCGUUCGAGAAGAAGAGAGAGAAUGAGAGUUUCUGAGGAAGAGAGAGAGUAUGAAGGACAGUAUACGGGAAAUGGGGAGGGUUUUGAGGUGUGGGGAUCUCACAUGUCCAAACCAAUCCCAAUUUCAUAAAAUUCCAUCAUAAAAUUUAAGUCUAAGUCUCCACUCCAAUUACCAAAUUUUUUUGGAGCUUAGAUAUAACGAACGUGAAAAUUAUACCUUAGUCACGUAUUAGGGACAUUUCCGUAAUUUCAUGUCCUCGGAAUUAAAAAUUCCGGCACGGGCUGUGACAAACAGCUUGCAUAUGUAUAGUUUAUAUGACAGUGAAUCAUAUGCUUUUGCUUAUAUCUUUAUUUUAUUUUUAUGAGUUCGUGUUUGUACCAAGAUAGCUGUCAAUUUAAGAUUAGUAUUGAAUGGCUCUAUAAUAAACAGCCCAACUUUCCAAGAUCCGGAAUCAAGUGGGUCUAAAGAAUUGCAUAGCUUGGGUUAUCAUCUUGAGGACCCAUAUCAUCUGGAUCAGACCAAGGCCAACGCCCACCGUACAUAUUGAGCCUAUGCCACUUUUCGGCUGGAGAAUGGAGUUCAAACACUUGGAUUAACAAACCACCAACAUCUGCACAUAUAGGCCGGGGCAUAUUUUGUAUAGCCCAUCGAAAAAAAAGAGAUUGUAACUAUAUGAGAUUUCAGGUUGUGAUUAACACUAACAAAUUAACUAAAACGAAUGUGUAGAAUUUUAAGCAACCAGUUAACAAGAAAGUUAAUCCUCUGACUGAAUAAAGUUGCAGGCAUUGAGUUUAGCAGCAUUAUUAACAAGGAAGAGCAUAAACCAUGCAACUCCAUCAUCAUGCAUGAGUGGUAUUUUUGGAAAUACAAACAUACCUGCAUAUGAGGGUCCUAAUUGUCAUGAAAAUCUAUAAGCAUCUUAAAAAAAAAAAAAAAAAUUCUCACUCAUAUAUCUGUUUCAAAUUUAUAUAGACAAUAAUCAAAGGGCUCAAUUACUAGUGCACCUUUGAAAGUGUGAAAAAAAUCUCAUCCUGCCUCUUGAAACUUAUUUUGAUCCAAUUUACUUACUUUUUAAAAUAUGUAAAUGUGUCUCAUUUUAUCGUAUAUUGUUGGUUUCAGUAAGUUUUUCUUCAAUGUCGGCUCACGUUAACGUGUCAUCCAUGUGUCAAAAGAUAGAGUACCUUUUUGUCUUUUCCGGUUCUCCAACUCAAUACAAGUCAGUUCUUCUCCUUCACUUCUUUAGCUCAUUUCACUCUCCCUUUCUAUCUCUCACUGAUUUCUAUCUCUUGGUCUUUUUGACUUUUGGCUAAAUAAUGUUUAAAAAGUAUGAGUUUUCACCUUUUUUAUAAUUUGUGAUUCUCUUGUCCACAUGUCAGUGAGAGAGUUAUGUUUAACUCAUAUAAAUGACAAGUUUGAUAUUCAGUUAUUACUUUCUUAUUGCGUGUCUUUAACCGCAAAUUCAUAUCUCAAUAAAGCGUGCAACAAAUCAAGUCUUACUGUAGUAUUUGAGAAACAUUAUAUGUUAAAAUUACAAAGCAAUCUUUUGUAUAAAUUAAGAUAAAAUAUUGUUCAGAUUAUCGAAUCACAUGCAUAAUUUCCCAGUGAUUCAUAUAAAACCUCAGCAAAGCCUUCUAUAAAUAACACUUCGUCUCUGGCAAUCUUCACACAAGCAUUAGCAAUCAAACGUGCUUUUCAAGGAAGGUAAUGAUAAGCUAAUUAACCUUGUUCGGCGACUGUUCUUGAACGAAAUGCGAUCUUUAGGACAUGAAUUGAAUCUCCAAAUUGGGGACAAACUUUUCACCCUCCCAAUGUCGAUGUAGUAAUCUAUCCCUGGAAAUUUGUUUACAUAAUCCUUGCCUCCCAUUAUAUAAAGUGACGGAACUUUAACAAUUAGAUUCGUCAAGCCGAAUUCUUCUCUAAGUGCCCUACCAAUACAUAACGUAAAGUUCAAGAAAUCAUUAACAUGUACUUACCACUUGAAUCCAAGUUAGCAGGGUUAAACUAAUUUCAAAUGAUAAGUCUGAUGAUUCGAUAAUAAUGUUUUUUUCAUUAACUCUUCUAGUAUGCGGAAGUAGUAGUGAUUCGAAGAUCAAAUGCGUUACCUAUACGGAAUGUGCAGUGCAGUUUGGAAGCCCGAUUUCUCAUACAGAGCUCCAUAUGCAGCAAGAUCUUCCUUGGUGAACCAAGGGGGAAGAGGGUCAAAUGGAUCCACCAAGUCCAUGAUCUCCUGGUUUUCUACAGCUAUUGGUAUUUUGCUUCUGGAGAAAAGGAUGUAAAUGUUCCAAACAACUGUUUUCGCAUCAAAGCGCCUGAAAUCAGCCUCUGCCCGGCCAGGUUCCUAUAGUAGUGGUAACAGUAAGUUGUAACUUGUAAGCAAGCUAGUCAUGGCAUAGAUAUGGACAACAAGACCAAGAAAAUACACACCUGCCAUCUUGAAAUGUAUAAGCCCUCAGGGAGCUUUUUAACGAAUUUUAGAAGGCCUAGUGGCACGAUUGGCACUCCGAUUGUUAUAACUCCCAAGACCCUAUCUAGGUACGCAAGGGCAAAUAAGUACGUUGGCCGACCUCCAAAAUUCUUUUCCCACGAGGAAAACCUACGUAAAAUUUAUGAUCAAACGUGUUACAUUGCAAUUCUCUUAAGCUUUUACUGCAUAAUAUGAUUAGCACAUAAGGAAAUAUAAGUGUUAUAAUCCUUCAAACAAUAAGCUUUUCAUUUGCCGGAUAAACAACAAAGCAAAUAAAUGCACGUUGUAGUGAUUUUACACUCUCAUUCUCCUACUACACUCUCCUGUUUUUUGUAUCCUUGAACUCUUCUUUGAUUUAUUCAAUCCAUUAUGAACAAAUGCGCGCAAAAAAUGGGAGUUUGGAAAUCACAAAUGUCAUCUUUACAACAAAUUGCUUUUUCAAUCAAACUUGUAAUAACAACCAAACAAUGAUUAAUGAAAAAAAGAACCAACUUUCAAAUUUGAAGCUCAUUUUCUAGCCAAAAUUUAAAAAAAAAAAGGCCAAAAAUUAAAAACAAAAAAGUGUAUCUGAAAAUUUUGUACCUUAGGAAUAGCAAGGGAAUCGAUAAUUCCAAAGACGCCACUGAUGAGGUCGCGGUAGGAGGCUUUGUCUGGUUGGGAAGGCGGGUCGGAGAGUUCGUGUCCGCGAUAGUCGGGAGCAAUGGCUCGGAAGCUGGAGUGGGCGAGACCAAUCAUUUGGUGCCGCCACGAGUACCAAAUUUCAGGGAAAUCAUGUUGUUUCCAUGCAGUUUCUCAAAAACCUAAAAAAAAAUCAGCGAGUCGACUCAGCGAGUUCACUAACUUUCCUAAAAUAGGCAAAACUGUUUCAAAUUGUGCAAGCUCUUUAAAUUCAGCGGCUUUUCAUGCUUUUGUCUGCCGCAAUUGGAUUAUCCAGAGAGAUUUGACUGCCGAAGCCCUCAGAUUUUUUCAGGUGAUUGAUUUAUUCUUCUUGUAGUUGCCCUUUGUUUGUUCGAAUACCACAAAUUUGACUACUUUCUUUGUAUUUCUUGCUGAGAUUUUUUGUUUUUUUUGGUUGGUUUUAAGAAUUAAAAUCGGUUAAUACUAAAUACCAUUUUGGGUUUUGAGCGAGAUCUGUUGUAAUGUGCAGAGAUUAAGAAUUAAUAUUGUCUGAAAUUCAGAAAUUGUAAUUCUGGGAUUUGGUUGUUUGAGCUAGAAAUUUUGGGAAUUUGAGCAAUGGGUGUUCAAUACAGUCCUAGGGUUUGAAAGGGGAUAUUGGUUUCAAGAAGGUUUUCGACACGUUACCAAUGUCUUGGGGUUAGUUUUGAGCUGGAAAUUUUGAUAAUUAAAGAAGUGGGUGUUCCAUGUACAAUCUUAGGGUUGAAAGGAGGUUUUUUUUGGGGGAAAUUUUUUCGAUUUGUUGCCAUUGUGUGAGUCGGUUUUGAGCUGGGAAUUUAGGGAGUUUAAGCAAUGGGUGUUCCAUAUACAGUGUUAGGGUUAAAAGGAGAUGUUGUUUUCGAGGAAUGACUUAGAUGGGUUCAUAGAGGAUGAAGUUGAGCACCUGAUAUAUCUUGUGUUUCUUCAGUGUGAAAUUGUGAAUUAUUAGCCGUCAUCAAAAUUGUUAGUAGCAGAUUAGAAUUUUUAGGUUUCAAAAUUUUUGUUACAAACUAAUGUGUUCACUAUCAAGUUGAAGUAGUUUUGAACCAACAGAUGGUAAUAAUAUGUUGAUGAUUUUAUCUUCUUUUCGAAUGCUGACAUUAUGAGUUAUUCAGGAAUGCGAGUAAAACACCAAAACAUACCACAAGGGACAUGGGAUAAUGGCAGAAUUAGAAAAUUUGCUCUUGGAGGCCGCGGGAAGAACAAGUUCAUCGGGGAAAAACCGACACUCACAUUCAUCAGCUAGGAGGAGACAUGGAGGUUCAUAUUCUGAUGGAGGAAGUGACUCCAGAGGUGAUGAUUUUGACGAUGGUUGUGGCUAUGCAAGCGGGAAGCCCUCUGGACCUCAAGUUCACUUGAAGAAGAGGCUGGACCCAACAGAAAUAGACGAUGAACAGGGUAGCCAGGAAGAAUGUGGUUAUAACGAUAGUGGUUCGGAUCGUGGGGGGGACAACAAUGAAUUUGAUGUUGGCAGUGAUCUUUUCAAGGAUGAAGAUGAUAGGCGGAAGCUUGCAGAGAUGUCUGAACUUCAAAGAGCUAAUUUUGUCUGAAAGAGCACAGAAGAAAGAUGACAAGAGCUUAAAGGAGAAGUUCCGACCAAAGUGGGAUAAAGGGAAGACCCUACAGUCCCGGAAAGAGACUCCACCUCUUCCAUCCUCUCGGGUGCGUUCAUCAGCUAGAUCUGCUGACAGGGCAGCUGCCAAGGAUGAUGCAUUGAAUGAGUUACGAGCAAAACGUUUGAAGCAGCAGGACCCCUGAGGCUCACCACAAGUUGAAAGAUGCUUCUAGAGGAGGAAGUUCAAGCAGUCGAAGUUUCUAAAGCAUAAUUUUGAGCUGCCAAUAUCAUUGGUUGCUCUUCAGAAGUUUGGCAGGCCAUAGGGUGCUCAGAAAGGGUUCCUGGAGAAGACGGGAUGAGGCAUGCGCUGACGCUUACAGUUGGCGACUACAUGAGAAAAUUAGGGCUUCUCUAAACAUAUUAUAACCUUAAAUGCGUUAAAAAGUUGAAUUAAAUCACCACAGAAACAAGAAAGUUCAAACAAAGAGAACAUAUUACAAACAGAUCAAGGCACGCAAAAAAAUACAGACUCUAUCUACAAACUAGCUGAUAAAACCAGAAAGUUUACUAGCUUACACAGUCGUCGUCGUCGUCAUCAUCCUCAUCAUUAGCAUCACCGUCUUGGUCCUCCUCAUCAAAAUCCUCAUUGUCGUUGUCAUCAUCCUCAUCAAAAUCAUCUUCAUAUUCAUCAUCAAAAUCAUCAACUUCAGUAAAAGCUUCUUCUAUGGCCCGUUCGUAAGGGAUAGAAUGGUAAAGAAAUAACGAACCUUCGAAAGUCAUAAGUUUGUCGCAUACUAAACGUACCCCUAUUUUCUUCACCACGGUAGUUGGACAAUGUACAAUAACAUGAACCAAAUCGCCUUCUUCCAAAUUGAACUCAGUUUCCGACAACGAAAAAUUUCCAAGGCAAAGGAUUUCUUGAAAGGAAAAAACAUGUCCUAUACAGACAUAAAAACUAGUACCCUUGGUGUGAUUAAUAACAUAAAUAAAAGACGCCCGCUCAAAAUCAAUCGAGCUAACGUCAUCAUAAGGAACCAAAGCCAGGCACACAGCUAACGUUUUUGCAUUACAACCAAUUUCAUUAGGCACUUCAAAAGAGACUUGGGUACCUUCGUUGACAUAAUUGAACCAAGUGGGAAUUUGUCUUCCUACAAGAUUCAUAUAUCCACUUCCUGUCCAUCCCUAUACCAUGUUGAACAAGAUUUGUGUGAGUAAUACAUACAUAACAAAUAACACACAUAUUUGCGAGGGAGGGAGGAGGGGGGUGGUGGUGUGGAAGAGAGAGAGAGUACCUGUAGCGUGUUAUCCUUAAGAAGGAAAUCUAUGACAUUGUUGUGUGUGAACAUAUGAAGUUUGAGGCCCGAGUUUAACGCGCUAUCCAAGCCUGGAAACUCAAUGAGUUUGGGGGAACCAAGAGACACGGAUGUCGACAUGCCUGAAAAAUCUGGCAUUCUUUCUAAUGCAGAGCAGUCGUCCAUCUCCAGGAUAUCCAAACUUUUUGGUAAAUCUGUGAUCUCGACAAGGUUUCUGCAGCCAUUCAAUUUUAGUGCAUGAAGCAUGGAGAGGUCACUGAGGCUUGGAAGGCUCCGAAAAUUAUUGUUAUCUAGAAAUAAGUACACUAAACAAGGUAGACUACUCCCAACAUCAUUAGGCACUUCCAUUAAAUUGCUGUCUACCAAUUGUAAAUCUGUUAAAAAGUGUAAGCCUCGUAAGGAAGGUAGCUGCAAAGGACACUUCAAGUAACUCAAAGAUAAGCAAUCGAGCUUCUCCAGUCAUACGAUGGAAGCUGGUACUUUUUUUAUGGCCGUCCCAUCAGCAAAAAGAGUGACCAAUGAUGCCAUUUCCCCAAGUGCUCGGACAAGCUUCGGAAUCCUGAACAACCAUUGAGAACAAGAGUUUUGACAGAUUUCGACUUGUAGAAACUCCUCGGGAGAGCCUUAAGCGUUUCACAGUCUUUCAAAUUCACCAACACAAGACUCUUGAGAUCUCCGAUGGACUUGUGAACUUUAGCCAACCUCUUACAAUCUUUGAGUAUCAAUUUCUCAAGAUUUGGGAAUUUCGAAAAGUCUGGCGAUUGUGUUAGAUCGUGGGAGUGGCUGAGAUUCAAAAUCUUCAACUUACCAAGCAACUGUUAAGAAAAAUCAAAUUUAAAUAAAAAAUUUAAAUCCAAAAAAAAGAUACAGAGAGCAUAAAAAUAAUUCCGAACUUGGUUCAGGUCACACAUUGUACUUACCCCAGAAUACUCACAAAGAACUUGUUUGAGGCUGCUGUACUGCAUGUCGAUAGCGACUAUGUUUGGUUGACACAGUUCUAUUGGUAUGAUCUCCAAUGGGAAUCCAUGCCAGCACAGCCAUCUUAAUUUUUUGGAAAGACAUUGGUAUCCCCUAGCAAGCCGAACAUAGUUCAGUUGGAGCAAUCUCAGUCUCUUCAUAUUUCUAAACGCCUCAGUACUGAAACUAGUCUCUACAAGACUCGGCAAAUUCAAAGCAAGACCUUCAAUUUUUUCAGUUCCCUGCUAUCAUAAAAAACAAACUCCAAAUAAGAGAAGGCUUUGCAUGAAAAAAAGUUAGAUUACUAACUUACAUAUGCUUACAUGUUUAAUAUAAAGUUCAAUUGGGAAAGUACUUACAGAUUUGUCUAUCAAUACAUCAUUUACAUCUUCAGAACGCCACAAUCUACUCCGUCCUCCAGGGAAAUCGGGAUUUUCUGCAUGCACAAUAUCUCUGCCCAUAUCCCGAAGCAAAUCAUGCAUCAUAAUCUUGUUUUUUCUACCAAUAGUUACAAGGCACCGGUCAAGGAGGACCUCGAUUCCUGUAGUUGCAUAAAAGCCACAACCAUCCAAGAUUUGUAUGACAUAGUUCUUGUCCAUUCCGAUAAAAAAAAAAGCUAUAUCGAGGAACAUCCGCCUCUUGUAAUUAUCAUUUAGCCCGUCGUAGCUUAUUUUGAGUUGUGCCUGAAUUUCUCCAUGAGGAAUCAUUUUCAAUUCAUCCAAUAUACUUCUCCAUUCAUCUACACUUCGUUUGAAAAGAGUAGAUCCUAAAACUUCAAGAGCCAGCGGCAGUCUUCCACAGUAAUUGACAACUUCGCUUGCGAGCACAAGAUAUUGACUAGGACAACAACUACUUCUGAAAGCAUGCCAACUUAGGAGCUCAAGAGCCUCUUCUCGGCCCAUUCCUUCUGCCUGAUAUAUCUUAUCAACUCCAAAUUCUUUUAGCACACGUUCAUUUCUAGUUGUGAUGAUGAUUCUGCUCCCCGGGCCAAAAGAGUGGCAAUUUCCAGCUAAUUCGCGUAGCUGCUUCACAUUGUCUACAUCAUCAACUAUGACAAGUACCUUUAAGCGUCGAAAUCUUUCCCCUACCAGGGCAGUCCCUGCAGCAACAUUGCUUACUUUUGUCUUGGUGGUUUGCAAGAUAUCAGAAAGAAGUUGUUUUUGCAAUUUUUCAAGUUUCUUUUCCCUCACUUUUUCAAGGAAACUUUUACCUUGAAACCUGUCAGAAAAUCGAUUAUAAACGGCUUUAGCAAGCGUUGUUUUACCUAUUCCACCCAUGCCCAAAAUUCCAAUCACCCGAACAUCAUCUGAAUCUCCGAUGCAUAAAUAAUUACUGAUAUUUUGCACUCGAGAAUCUAUUCCGACUUGGUAGGGUGCUACGUCUAAGUAUGUGUUGUUCAGCUUUCUAGUGACUUCCUCAGUAAUCCUCCUGAUAAACUUUGCUUCAUGCCUGACAUUGGUCAAGUUGAGAAGCAAAACGAAGAUUGUUAUACAACUACAAGACGAAAUUGAACUAAUACACAAAAUUACUUUUCACGACGAGAGAUUUUAUUUAAGACAAUUUUCUUUGAGGUGUUGUGUUUAAACUUAGCAAACAUCAAUUAAAAAUUCAAAAUAGAAACACAAGCAAACAAAACCAGUAUCCCUUCCCUCUGCAGCCAUUCGCCGGCGGCUCCCCUGCUAUGAUUAGUGUAAGCUUAACAGUUGAAGCUUUAUUGUAUGAUUUUAUUAAAAGAGGUCUAAGAAAUCGCAUGCUUCCAAAUUAAUAAGCAAAGGAACGUUAAAGCCUAAAUUCAUAAGAGAAGAAAUUAGUAAGUACCCGUCUUGGAGAUCCCAGCCAGACAAAUUCGAAGCUUUAGUAAGAGCAGUUCUCCACCUCUCUACCUUACAACUCUCUACCUUCUUUUCAUCUAUAUGGUCCCGAAACGAUUGUCCAAAACAGUCAGUCUGUUUCCUGACAUGCGAAGGAUCAAUGUCAUAGAAUAUUCGACAAAACUAACUGCCCCAGCGUUCUUCUACACUCCAUGAUCUUUACCAGCUCCUCGAGGCACCAGCUGGAGUUCGCAUACUGUCUAGAGAAGACGAUGAUAGAGAUCUUAGAACCUUGGAUUGCCCUCUCAAAUGCGAUUGUUAAUUCUUCUCCCUUUUUUAGUUCUUCGUCGUCAAUAAAAGCAUUGAUUCCGGCCUUUGUUAAUGCUUCAUAGAGGUGGCCCGUGAAGUUUUUACGUGUGUCUUCGCCUCUAAAGCUUAUGAACACAUCGUAGAGCGAACCUUUUGAGAAGGAGGACGAGGACAAGGAGGCGGAGGAGGACAAUGAGGAUGAGGAUGAGAGCGAGGAGGUGAAGGAGGACGAUGAGGAUGAGGACGAGGAUGAGGAUCCGGGCAAGGAGGAGGACGAUGAGGCUUUAUCGGGGACUGAGACAUUCAUUUGGCGAAAGACGUGGCUAAAGGAGCAGAGGAGGAAGAUGACGAC
Molecule: long non-coding RNA, 42534 nt
Filed under: Malus domestica (apple)
Lineage: Eukaryota; Viridiplantae; Streptophyta; Magnoliopsida; Rosales; Rosaceae
Description: long non-coding RNA (MDOM_LNC005363)
Source: RNAcentral